GGCGACGAUGGCAAAGAGGAUCACCUGUUCUCAUUCCGAACACAGAAGUUAAGCUCUUUUACGCUGAAAGUACUUGGUUGGAAACGACCUGGGAGGAUAAGGAGUUGCCG
RNAcentral lists this ribosomal RNA (110 nucleotides) under pig gut metagenome. The record is from RNAcentral.